This 1079-nucleotide long non-coding RNA is filed under the name Carassius auratus (goldfish). RNAcentral's name for it is "lncRNA (ENSCARG00000020486.1)". Lineage: Eukaryota; Metazoa; Chordata; Actinopteri; Cypriniformes; Cyprinidae. The record is from RNAcentral.
GUCACGCGCUGCCACGCUCCGGAGUUGUUUGAAACUUGGCUACCCAUUUAUGCUGAGAAGAUCCUGUACCUGGCAAGACAGGAGGGGAAGCUGAUAUUGCCCCUGGAUGGAUUAACACCAGAUGGUGUUGGGGAACUCGCCCUGAGGCAGUUGCCAGACUUGCUUCUACCUACAAUUUACAAAGUUGGCCGUGGCCACGGUGUGAAAGUAGUUCGCCUCACCAUACAGGAAUGCAGCUUGGCCUUCAUCAACCAUAAGCCUCCUGGAAUAAACAUGGUGGAGUACCUCCAUGAGGCCAAGGCAUGCAAGUCAUACCCCCACAUCCUGACACUGGGAAAUGAUCAGAGUGCAUUUCAGGCCUUCCGCUAAAAUGGUUAAGUUUAUUCAAACUAGAAUACUUGCUUACAAGUAGAGCUAAUGGCUCUUAAAAGCAGCAUUUAGGAAUUUGAAUUUAUUAACUAUAGAGCUGCAGACUGUUGGCCUGUUGAAUGUUCAGCCAGUUCAAUCGAAAUUGUUAUUUGCUCUGAAUGUGUUGCACCAUUUCUACUAUAUUUUUUUGAUAUUAAUGUAAUACAUUUUCAAAGAUUCCAUUUUGUUUUUGUAUUGUUUAAGUGUUUGUUACAUAAUAUGCAUACAUCUACCAUGUAUUCAGUUCUAGGUUUGUAGUUUCACAGUUUUAUAUGGGUAGUCUGCAGUUUAUUUUCUUAUUGUACUGUAAUGUGUUAGACUUAAUCUGGCUUAUGGGUUAAUUUUAUCUAGCUUAAUAUGUAGUUGAAUCAACCCAGAAUUGUAAUUAAUUUGACCCAGCAUUUGGGUACACUAUUUAACAAAAAUGAAGUUAAAUCAACCUACAAUUGUAUUUAAUUUGACCCAGCGUUUGGGUAGAAUAUUUAACUCAUCUGUUGGGUUAAAAAUGAUCAACCCAUAUUCCUGGGUCAAAUUAACUACUGUUGCUUUGGUGCAAUAUUGAUCCAGCAGUUGGGUUAAAAAUAAAUAAAUAAAAUACUUUACCUCAUAUUUCAUAAUAUUCUCAGCAUCAUUUGUGUCUACAACAUCUGUUGACGUGUGCUAAAAAAGCU